Molecule: ribosomal RNA, 574 nt
Filed under: Cytauxzoon felis
Lineage: Eukaryota; Apicomplexa; Aconoidasida; Piroplasmida; Theileriidae
Description: SSU rRNA
Rfam family: Eukaryotic small subunit ribosomal RNA
Source: RNAcentral
UUAUAAUUUAUUUGAUAUUCGUUUCUACAUGGAUAACCGUGCUAAUUGUAGGGCUAAUACAUGUUCGAGACCUAUUUUUAUAGGUGGCGUUUAUUAGACCUUAAACCAUCCCGCUUCGGCGGUAUAUCGGUGAUUCAUAAUAAAUACGCGAAUCGCAUUGCUUUAUGCUGGCGAUGUAUCAUUCAAGUUUCUGACCUAUCAGCUUUGGACGGUAGGGUAUUGGCCUACCGGGGCAGCGACGGGUAACGGGGAAUUAGGGUUCGAUUCCGGAGAGGGAGCCUGAGAAAUGGCUACCACAUCUAAGGAAGGCAGCAGGCGCGUAAAUUACCCAAUCCUAACACAGGGAGGUAGUGACAAGAAAUAACAAUACGAGGCUUAAAGUCUUGUAAUUGGAAUGACGGAAAUUUAAGCUCUUUCCGGAGUAUCAAUUGGAGGGCAAGUCUGGUGCCAGCAGCCGCGGUAAUUCCAGCUCCAAUAGCGUAUAUUAAACUUGUUGCAGUUAAAAAGCUCGUAGUUGAAUUUCUGCUGCAUCAUUUAUAUUCCUUAAUCGGUUUAUUCAUGUUGUGGCUUUUUG